Molecule: ribosomal RNA, 253 nt
Filed under: uncultured bacterium
Lineage: Bacteria
Description: partial 16S ribosomal RNA
Rfam family: Bacterial small subunit ribosomal RNA
Source: RNAcentral
UACGGGGGGGGCAAGCGUUGUUCGGAAUUACUGGGCGUAAAGGGCUCGUAGGCGGCCAACUAAGUCAGAGGUGAAAUCCCUCGGCUUAACCGGGGAACUGCAUCUGAUACUGGAUGGCUUGAGUUCGGGAGAGGGAUGCGGAAUUCCAGGUGUAGCGGUGAAAUGCGUAGAUAUCUGGAGGAACACCGGUGGCGAAGGCGGCAUCCUGGACCGACACUGACGCUGAGGAGCGAAAGCCUGGGGAGCAAACGGG